RNAcentral lists this transfer RNA (85 nucleotides) under Candidatus Staskawiczbacteria bacterium. RNAcentral's name for it is "tRNA-Ser". It matches the Rfam family "tRNA". Rfam says of the family: Transfer RNA (tRNA) molecules are approximately 80 nucleotides in length. Lineage: Bacteria; Candidatus Staskawicziibacteriota. The record is from RNAcentral.
GGAGGGAUGCCGGAGCGGUUUAACGGAACAGUUUGGAGAACUGUGGCCAGAAAUGGUCUCGUGAGUUCGAAUCUCACUCCCUCCG